Molecule: ribosomal RNA, 467 nt
Filed under: uncultured bacterium
Lineage: Bacteria
Description: partial 16S ribosomal RNA
Rfam family: Bacterial small subunit ribosomal RNA
Source: RNAcentral
ACGAACGCUGGCGGCGUGCUUAACACCUGCAAGUCGAACGGAAAGGCCCUGCUUUUGUGGGGUGCUCGAGUGGCGAACGGGUGAGUAACACGUGAGUAACCUGCCCUUGACUUUGGGAUAACUUCAGGAAACUGGGGCUAAUACCGGAUAGGAGCUCCUGCUGCAUGGUGGGGGUUGGAAAGUUUCGGCGGUUGGGGAUGGACUCGCGGCUUAUCAGCUUGUUGGUGGGGUAGUGGCUUACCAAGGCUUUGACGGGUAGCCGGCCUGAGAGGGUGACCGGCCACAUUGGGACUGAGAUACGGCCCAGACUUCUACGGGAGGCAGCAGUGGGGAAUAUUGCACAAUGGGCGGAAGCCUGAUGCAGCAACGCCGCGUGCGGGAUGACGGCCUUCGGGUUGUAAACCGCUUUCGCCUGUGACGAAGCGUGAGUGACGGUAAUGGGUAAAGAAGCACCGGCUAACUACGUG